AUCCUGACUCAUCUGCAGCAAAGAAAACCUUGACCCUCCUCCACUCGCUCCUGUGGGCCUCACACACUCCCUUCAUUCUUUUCCAUCAGAGACCAAGACCCCUGGCUUGGAUUGAAGAUGACCAUGAUACACUUUCACAUCUAAGACGAUACUGCAGAAAAGAAUCUUCACCUGAUAAAAGACAAAGGCCACUGGAAAAAAAAACACCUGGGUGUUGAUGAGCUGUUUUGUUCGCUUCGAGGAGGAUUGUGUCAAACAGGACGUAGCUGUGGUCGAACGACCUUGAGUGGAUCCGAUUUUCUCGUGCUGGACCACACUGAGCAGAAAUCUUCACAGCUACUCCUGCCAGGACAUCUCCUCCGACAGGAGAGCUGUCAGUACACAAGGACCACACACAUGUACACACAAACAAUCACACGAACACCUGACCCAAUUUUCAAGCUACUGCACCAUCCAGCAACAACAGCCAGAGAGACACACCAACAAAGUGCCAAAAAAACAAGUAACAGCAAAAUCCUCUCUGUCCCCUCUUGGCAAACCUGUUUUACACACAGCACCUCCCUUCUCUUCCCUCACUCAUCUGUUAUUUUCCCCUUUAAUUCCCUUACUGCAGACAACCUAGUUUUUCCUUCCCUGUCCUGUUUUCCAAAGACAUAAGACAAAUCCACAGGGAAAGCGUUUCAAACCCAGACAUUGACAUAACCCAAAAAUCUGACUCCAUGACUUGAGCCAUCUUACAGCCCCAACUGCAAGUGAGGAGCCAACCCUCAGUUCCAGACCUGCCUCUUAAUAAAGCCAAAUUUCAGACACAACCACACACACCCACAACCACCCUGGCUCCACACUUCUAAUAUCCACACAGCCCUCAGGAGCACAAUGCCAAGCCUCAGCUGCAUCCCUGACCUUCAUCCCCCAACAAGACAACGGAUCGGCCGGUUCAGCAGCUCCAGAUGCCACAGUGUGCCAGACAGGAUUAGCUCACAUCAGGCCAGAGGGGUUGCAGAUCCUCCCUUUUACCCUCUUCCCAACACCAUGUCCUCUAAACCCCCUUGCUGUGACUGCUCAGAAUGUACAAGGUGCAAAAAGUUCUGUGACUGUUCCUGUUGUGCCCGAACAGAGCAAGGCCUGAUAAUGCUCCUGCAGUAAAGGUGCAAACUGCAACCAAGCACGUGUCCAUUCGCAAUUUUCCCAUGGACCUCAACCUUGUGCAGAGAGCAAACUUCAAAUUCCGUGUCACAUGUUGUUCCAUGUUGAGGAUCAUCGACUAUCACCCAGAGACCAAACAGCAGCCUAACGGUGGAAGAGCCGACAGUCUCUGAGACCCAAGACGGCACAUCAGGUCGAGAGUGUGACCGAGGCCAAGCUUCUUUGGCAUUUGCGGGACUGUGCACUGUGAAUUUGUCGUGCAGGGUCAGACUGUUUCAUUGUGUCCACGGGAGGCCAUCCGCUGCAAACAACCUUAACUGUGGCGUGAUAUCAAUUGGCCUCUCCGUCAUGACAACACGCCCACUCACAGCGUGGGCUUUGGCUACACCAGCACAGCUCUCCAAUUGGCCUACUUGUCAAAUUUGGCUCCCCGCAACUUCCCCCUCUUUCCCCAAAAUGAAAUGCAAUCUGAGGAGUUGCCAUUUUAACACGGUGGAGGAGAUCCAGUGUGUGGCACAGAUGGUGCUUGACACACUUACAGAAUGGGACUUCCAGGGAGCAUUCCAAUCAAGGCAGGAGUGCUGGGAGCAGUGUUUUGUGGCACAAGUUGUUGACUUCUUUCAAGAUGGUGGCCAAAUGUAAAUCAGAUUUGCAGAUUCAAUCCCGGAACUUUUUUGAUAGCACUUUAAAUAAUCAAAAAACAGGGACUGAUACUGUGUGUGGAGGGAUACGCACAUAUGUUCAUAGAUGUAGUAAUUGAAACAGGGUGGUUGCAGUCGUGAGAAGAUGCAUGAACAAUGAAGAAUAGUACUAAUAGUACGAUGUU
This is a non-coding RNA of Paralichthys olivaceus (Japanese flounder), 1972 nucleotides long. Lineage: Eukaryota; Metazoa; Chordata; Actinopteri; Pleuronectiformes; Paralichthyidae. The record is from RefSeq and is a predicted model, not a curated record.